Molecule: ribosomal RNA, 484 nt
Filed under: uncultured bacterium
Lineage: Bacteria
Description: partial 16S ribosomal RNA
Rfam family: Bacterial small subunit ribosomal RNA
Source: RNAcentral
AUUGAACGCUCGCGGGAUGCUUUACACAUGCAAGUCGAACGGCAGCGCGGACUUCGGUCUGGCGGCGAGUGGCGAACGGGUGAGUAAUGUAUCGGAACGUGCCCAGUAGCGGGGGAUAACUACGCGAAAGCGUAGCUAAUGCCGCAUACGCCCUACGGGGGAAAGCAGGGGAUCGUAAGACCUUGCACUAUUGGAGCGGCCGAUAUCGGAUUAGCUAGUUGGUGAGGUAACGGCUCACCAAGGCGACGAUCCGUAGCUGGUUUGAGAGGACGACCAGCCACACUGGGACUGAGACACGGCCCAGACUCCUACGGGAGGCAGCAGUGGGGAAUUUUGGACAAUGGGGGCAACCCUGAUCCAGCCAUCCCGCGUGUGCGAUGAAGGCCUUCGGGUUGUAAAGCACUUUUGGCAGGAAAGAAACGUCGCGGGCUAAUACCCCGUGGAACUGACGGUACCUGCAGAAUAAGCACCGGCUAACUACGUG